RNAcentral lists this ribosomal RNA (2902 nucleotides) under Escherichia coli KTE210. RNAcentral's name for it is "bacterial LSU rRNA". It matches the Rfam family "Bacterial large subunit ribosomal RNA". Lineage: Bacteria; Pseudomonadati; Pseudomonadota; Gammaproteobacteria; Enterobacterales; Enterobacteriaceae. The record is from RNAcentral.
UUAAGCGACUAAGCGUACACGGUGGAUGCCCUGGCAGUCAGAGGCGAUGAAGGACGUGCUAAUCUGCGAUAAGCGUCGGUAAGGUGAUAUGAACCGUUAUAACCGGCGAUUUCCGAAUGGGGAAACCCAGUGUGAUUCGUCACACUAUCAUUAACUGAAUCCAUAGGUUAAUGAGGCGAACCGGGGGAACUGAAACAUCUAAGUACCCCGAGGAAAAGAAAUCAACCGAGAUUCCCCCAGUAGCGGCGAGCGAACGGGGAGCAGCCCAGAGCCUGAAUCAGUGUGUGUGUUAGUGGAAGCGUCUGGAAAGGCGCGCGAUACAGGGUGACAGCCCCGUACACAAAAAUGCACAUACUGUGAGCUCGAUGAGUAGGGCGGGACACGUGGUAUCCUGUCUGAAUAUGGGGGGACCAUCCUCCAAGGCUAAAUACUCCUGACUGACCGAUAGUGAACCAGUACCGUGAGGGAAAGGCGAAAAGAACCCCGGCGAGGGGAGUGAAAAAGAACCUGAAACCGUGUACGUACAAGCAGUGGGAGCACGCUUAGGCGUGUGACUGCGUACCUUUUGUAUAAUGGGUCAGCGACUUAUAUUCUGUAGCAAGGUUAACCGAAUAGGGGAGCCGAAGGGAAACCGAGUCUUAACUGGGCGUUAAGUUGCAGGGUAUAGACCCGAAACCCGGUGAUCUAGCCAUGGGCAGGUUGAAGGUUGGGUAACACUAACUGGAGGACCGAACCGACUAAUGUUGAAAAAUUAGCGGAUGACUUGUGGCUGGGGGUGAAAGGCCAAUCAAACCGGGAGAUAGCUGGUUCUCCCCGAAAGCUAUUUAGGUAGCGCCUCGUGAAUUCAUCUCCGGGGGUAGAGCACUGUUUCGGCAAGGGGGUCAUCCCGACUUACCAACCCGAUGCAAACUGCGAAUACCGGAGAAUGUUAUCACGGGAGACACACGGCGGGUGCUAACGUCCGUCGUGAAGAGGGAAACAACCCAGACCGCCAGCUAAGGUCCCAAAGUCAUGGUUAAGUGGGAAACGAUGUGGGAAGGCCCAGACAGCCAGGAUGUUGGCUUAGAAGCAGCCAUCAUUUAAAGAAAGCGUAAUAGCUCACUGGUCGAGUCGGCCUGCGCGGAAGAUGUAACGGGGCUAAACCAUGCACCGAAGCUGCGGCAGCGACGCUUAUGCGUUGUUGGGUAGGGGAGCGUUCUGUAAGCCUGCGAAGGUGUGCUGUGAGGCAUGCUGGAGGUAUCAGAAGUGCGAAUGCUGACAUAAGUAACGAUAAAGCGGGUGAAAAGCCCGCUCGCCGGAAGACCAAGGGUUCCUGUCCAACGUUAAUCGGGGCAGGGUGAGUCGACCCCUAAGGCGAGGCCGAAAGGCGUAGUCGAUGGGAAACAGGUUAAUAUUCCUGUACUUGGUGUUACUGCGAAGGGGGGACGGAGAAGGCUAUGUUGGCCGGGCGACGGUUGUCCCGGUUUAAGCGUGUAGGCUGGUUUUCCAGGCAAAUCCGGAAAAUCAAGGCUGAGGCGUGAUGACGAGGCACUACGGUGCUGAAGCAACAAAUGCCCUGCUUCCAGGAAAAGCCUCUAAGCAUCAGGUAACAUCAAAUCGUACCCCAAACCGACACAGGUGGUCAGGUAGAGAAUACCAAGGCGCUUGAGAGAACUCGGGUGAAGGAACUAGGCAAAAUGGUGCCGUAACUUCGGGAGAAGGCACGCUGAUAUGUAGGUGAAGCGACUUGCUCGUGGAGCUGAAAUCAGUCGAAGAUACCAGCUGGCUGCAACUGUUUAUUAAAAACACAGCACUGUGCAAACACGAAAGUGGACGUAUACGGUGUGACGCCUGCCCGGUGCCGGAAGGUUAAUUGAUGGGGUCAGCGCAAGCGAAGCUCUUGAUCGAAGCCCCGGUAAACGGCGGCCGUAACUAUAACGGUCCUAAGGUAGCGAAAUUCCUUGUCGGGUAAGUUCCGACCUGCACGAAUGGCGUAAUGAUGGCCAGGCUGUCUCCACCCGAGACUCAGUGAAAUUGAACUCGCUGUGAAGAUGCAGUGUACCCGCGGCAAGACGGAAAGACCCCGUGAACCUUUACUAUAGCUUGACACUGAACAUUGAGCCUUGAUGUGUAGGAUAGGUGGGAGGCUUUGAAGUGUGGACGCCAGUCUGCAUGGAGCCGGCCUUGAAAUACCACCCUUUAAUGUUUGAUGUUCUAACGUGGACCCGUAAUCCGGGUUGCGGACAGUGUCUGGUGGGUAGUUUGACUGGGGCGGUCUCCUCCUAAAGAGUAACGGAGGAGCACGAAGGUUGGCUAAUCCUGGUCGGACAUCAGGAGGUUAGUGCAAUGGCAUAAGCCAGCUUGACUGCGAGCGUGACGGCGCGAGCAGGUGCGAAAGCAGGUCAUAGUGAUCCGGUGGUUCUGAAUGGAAGGGCCAUCGCUCAACGGAUAAAAGGUACUCCGGGGAUAACAGGCUGAUACCGCCCAAGAGUUCAUAUCGACGGCGGUGUUUGGCACCUCGAUGUCGGCUCAUCACAUCCUGGGGCUGAAGUAGGUCCCAAGGGUAUGGCUGUUCGCCAUUUAAAGUGGUACGCGAGCUGGGUUUAGAACGUCGUGAGACAGUUCGGUCCCUAUCUGCCGUGGGCGCUGGAGAACUGAGGGGGGCUGCUCCUAGUACGAGAGGACCGGAGUGGACGCAUCACUGGUGUUCGGGUUGUCAUGCCAAUGGCACUGCCCGGUAGCUAAAUGCGGAAGAGAUAAGUGCUGAAAGCAUCUAAGCACGAAACUUGCCCCGAGAUGAGUUCUCCCUGACCCUUUAAGGGUCCUGAAGGAACGUUGAAGACGACGACGUUGAUAGGCCGGGUGUGUAAGCGCAGCGAUGCGUUGAGCUAACCGGUACUAAUGAACCGUGAGGCUUAACCUU